Molecule: ribosomal RNA, 337 nt
Filed under: uncultured bacterium
Lineage: Bacteria
Description: bacterial SSU rRNA
Rfam family: Bacterial small subunit ribosomal RNA
Source: RNAcentral
AGGGUUUGAUUAUGGCUCAGGAUGAACGCUAGCGACAGGCCUAACACAUGCAAGUCGAGGGGCAGCGGAGAGGUAGCAAUACCUUUGCCGGCGACCGGCGCACGGGUGAGUAACACGUAUGCAAUCCACCUGUAACAGGGGGAUAACCCGGAGAAAUCCGGACUAAUACCCCAUAAUAUGGGCGUUCCGCAUGGAGAGCUCAUUAAAGAGAGCAAUUUUGGUUACAGACGAGCAUGCGCUCCAUUAGCCAGUUGGCGGGGUAACGGCCCACCAAAGCGACGAUGGAUAGGGGUUCUGAGAGGAAGGUCCCCCACAUUGGAACUGAGACACGGUCCAA